GCCUACGGGGGGCAGCAGUAGGGUAUCUUCCACAAUGGGCGAAAGCCUGAUGGAGCAACGCCGCGUGGGUGAAGAAGGUCUUCGGAUCGUAAAACCCUGUUGUUAGAGAAGAAAGUGCGUGAGAGUAACUGUUCACGUUUCGACGGUAUCUAACCAGAAAGCCACGGCUAACUACGUGCCAGCAGCCGCGGUAAUACGUAGGUGGCAAGCGUUAUCCGGAUUUAUUGGGCGUAAAGGGAACGCAGGCGGUCUUUUAAGUCUGAUGUGAAAGCCUUCGGCUUAACCGGAGUAGUGCAUUGGAAACG
Molecule: ribosomal RNA, 305 nt
Filed under: uncultured bacterium
Lineage: Bacteria
Description: bacterial SSU rRNA
Rfam family: Bacterial small subunit ribosomal RNA
Source: RNAcentral